UUCGUCAACUUAAAUUGGCCCAAACCCAACCCCAGCCCAUGUAGCUCACUACUCCAGCUGGCCAGUUUAAUCAAUUGAAGAUUUUUGGCUGCAAUUGGGAGGCUGCAAAAUUUGUGAAUCCAGAGCAACGAUGGAUAAAUAAUUCUCGAAAUGUGGGUUCCUCAUCACGUGUCCCACUUUCAUCCUUAUAUUUUUGAUCAAGGUUUGUGAGGUUUGAGUUCUGUGAGCAAAAUUAAGCUAUCUUAUCUACUAAUCUCAUGAGAUGGAGCUAUGCGGAAAUUUUGAGUAAUUAAAUUUGGCUUGAAAAUAUACACUUACAACAUUGGUAUCAGUUCAAUGAGAUCCAAUCAAUGUAGUUUAUUUUUUUGAGAUUGGAAAACUUCAUGCAAAGAGUUUUAUAGUUAAUUUGGUUUCACAAUAUGUAUAUGUAUAUGUAUAUGUAUGUAUAUAUAUAUAUAGCAUUGUUUUGCACACUCAUUACUAUGGUUUUACCUACCUAAGACCAAAUAUAUACCAAUGAUUUCGCAAUCUGUUUUUUAGGUUUUACUUCCUACCUCAACUUCUCUGUAAUGGUGAUAUUUGUUUAAGUUCACAUUCUAUUUCCGAAAUUAUCCACAAAACGUUCACCAAUAAAUUAAUAGAAAUAUUUCAGGCAUCACAUAAAAGCAUUUGUCAAAUAAUAUUUUUGAGGUUUCCCAGAUACCAC
Molecule: long non-coding RNA, 706 nt
Filed under: Physcomitrium patens
Lineage: Eukaryota; Viridiplantae; Streptophyta; Bryopsida; Funariales; Funariaceae
Description: long non-coding RNA (PPAT_LNC008654)
Source: RNAcentral